CCCGGAACUGGCUAAUGUGCUGAAAGUGAAAGCGGGGGGUCAGCCCUUUGUGGGACAGCUGACUCUCUCCCCCUCCCCAAGGCCCAGGGAACAUCGAGGAAGAGAAGGAAGAAUGAACUCUAAGCACCCGAGGAUAGGAAAUGUGCAGCGCUGCCCCUUUGCUGUGGGGAUGUCAGUCGUGAUCCUUACGAUGGGCAGGAGAGGGACCAUCUGGAGCAUGUGAAACAGCAGAACCAGCUCGGAACAGGACGCUUCAUGGACAGCACAUCUGGAGACGGAGUGAAGUAAGGGCCGGAUUAGCAGCCCAGGACGGGGAGGAAACCCUUCUGCACUCAUUACAUCACUGGCCACAUCUCCAGGGAUGUGUGGCUCAAUUGCUGAAGACGAACUUAGUCUCAACGGAAAGGCUGUUCAGCAAGACAAAAUCGAAUGCACUUGAGGAAUAGAAACCCCGACUAAGACAAUACUGGCAGGAACACUGUAUGAGAAUCCUACAGCAUGGAGUGAUGACAUCCAUGGUAAGUUACCACUUGGGGAAUGAGGUGGGUCCAGCCCAUGUCAGAGUUAAUCACAAUGGGAGCAGGAAAGAUGGCAGGAAGAGAAAACCCAAGGACAGAACAGAUCCACAGGUCCUGCUGGAGGAGACACAGUGAUGGGAUCAGAAGCAAAGACCAGGGAGAACAGGGGCCCUAAUGUUCUUUUGUUUUUGGAGUAAUGCCGAGGGUCAGAACCUCUAUCUCUGAUUGAUGUUACCUCUUCAAUCAUCAGGAAAACAACUAUUCAGGUCCCAAUUUGGUUGAUCAUUGAUUGUUUUUCUGAAGCUGAUAAAAUGACCAAGGUCUGAUGCAAGAUUAACAUGGGUCCUAAACAGUGAGCUUUCUUAUGGGUGAUAAGGGUUCAUCAGUGGUAGCUAUCACCUCCCUCACGAUAACCUCAAGGGUGUCACAGAAAGACGACC
Molecule: long non-coding RNA, 958 nt
Organism: Apodemus sylvaticus (European woodmouse)
Lineage: Eukaryota; Metazoa; Chordata; Mammalia; Rodentia; Muridae
Exons: 4
Source: RefSeq, a predicted model, not a curated record